This is a long non-coding RNA of Eriocheir sinensis (Chinese mitten crab), 5995 nucleotides long. RefSeq lists it as uncharacterized. The record is from RefSeq and is a predicted model, not a curated record. Lineage: Eukaryota; Metazoa; Arthropoda; Malacostraca; Decapoda; Varunidae. The transcript is spliced from 4 exons.
CUACGCCAAAACGGACUCAACAAUUUGGUUUCACUAUGGUGUUAGCCUCAAGAUGUCAGGUCAGCCUCAGGGGUGCACCCACGGGAGAGGGGAUCCUUGUGCCCCAGAAGCCUCCUCCAGUCACCUCUCUUUUUGGACACUCCUUUGACCUCUAUUCAGGAGCAGUAAGUAGCAGGCUUUUUUUAUAUAUUUUUCUUUACGCCAUUGAACUGUCUCCUUAGCUGUAAAAAACAAAACAAAAAAAAAAGUCAGGUCAGUUUACUUGACCUGACCCCAACACCACGCUACCUUCCACCUUGCCACUUUUCCUAAUGGUAGCUACCCUAAUAUUUUGUGCUGGCUGCAUCAGUGACUCGCCAGGUUCCACACCCCCGGGGCUCACAGUUCCCCUGAAGACCCCCGGCCUGGCUCCCCCAACACUCCCCACACCCUAGACCCCAACACUCACUGAGGUCGGUAUUAUAAGACUUUCGCUUCUCACAUCAGCUAUUUCUAACGGUCAAAGAGUGAAUCAGUCGGGUUCUAAUGAGUGUUCCUUGAGGUUCACGGUACAGAGGAAGGGUCAAACUACCACCAGGAUCAUAGAACUGCUACUGGAAAUGCCCGAAACUCCUAUGAAAGCCUUGUCGAAUAUGUGAACUUGGGCGACUAAAUGAUUUAAAGGUCAAAGAUGGAAUCAGUCGGGUUCUAAUUAGUGUUCCUUGAGGUUCACGGUACAGAGGAAGGGUCAAACUACCACCAGGAUCAUAGAACUACUCCUGGAAAUGCCCAAAACUCCUAUGAAAGCCUUGUCGAAUAUGUGAACUUGAGCGACUAAAUGUUUUAAAAUAUGACCCUCAUUCUCUGGGUGUGCCCCCGAGUCUAUGCACUGUGUUGUCAGGCAAGUCCGAACCAACACCGGCACAGACGCUGACCUCCGACACAGCCGCCAGACAUGAAAUCAGUAUUUGCAGCGGCAUUUUUUCGGAAUACGUUGUUGUAUUUCAAAGGAAGGAAAUUUUUUCAGCAACACACAUGCACACACUGACCGGGAAAAAGAGACACUUAACCCGGCAGCAGCGGGGAUCGUGUUUCUUAAUGGUCCCUCUAAGCGAGAAAAAUGAGAAAAAAAUCACCCCUCACACAAACCAUUUCAUAAUAUAUAUCAAAGGAUUUGUGAUCAGAUUAUAUAUCAUCUAUUUUUGGGGGGUUUAUAUCAUGGCACAAAUUUGGCCCGUCGCUGCUACACGGUAAAGCCACAAAUUUGGCCCGUCGCUGCUACACGGUAAAGCCACAAAUUUGGCCCGUCGCUGCUACACGGUAAAGCCACAAAUUUGGCCCGUCGCUGCUACACGGUAAAGCCACAAAUUUGGCCCGUCGCUGCUACACGGUAAAGCCACAAAUUUGGCCCGUCGCUGCUACACGGUAAAGCCACAAAUUUGGCCCGUCGCUGCUACACGGUAAAGCCACAAAUUUGGCCUGUCGCUGCUACACGGUAAAGCCACAAAUUUGGCCCGUCGCUGCUACACGGUAAAGCCACAAAUUUGGCCCGUCGCUGCUACACGGUAAAGCCACAAAUUUGGCCCGUCGCUGCAACACGGUAAAGCCAAAAAUAUUAAUGAAUUUGAAGCUAAACUUGAUGAACGGAGAUUUGGAGAGAGGACUCGCCCGUGUAGCUGCUUCCUGUAUAUCACAUUUGGUAAAUACACACACACACACACACACACACACAUGUAAAAUAUUGACUUUCACACUUCAUGAUUACAUUUUACACUUCCCCCAAUGCAGUGAGAUGUGUGUGUGUGUGUGUGUGUGUGUGUGUGUGUGUGUGUGUGAGUGAACAUUUCCCUGACUCACAGAUGGACUGCCCGAGGUGUUCCGUGUGUUAAGUGUUUCCUUGCAUGGGUCAAAGUUUACCGUCUCUCGACACCGCACAAAAAGUUUACAGCAGGACACAAGAUUUUUAGUGAUUUCAAUUAAUUAAUAAAAUGUAUGGAAAGAGAAGACAAUAUUUAUGCAUUUUGGUGUGAGAGGAAUGGAGGAAAAAAUGGAGAGAGAGAGAGAGAGAGAGAGAGAGAGAGAGAGAGAGAGAGAGAGAGGGGAAUGGAGGAAAAAAUGUGGAGAGAGGGGAAUAGAGGAAAAAUUGUGGAGAGAGAGAAAGGAAUGGAGGAAAAAAUGUGGAGAGAGAGAGAGAGAGAGAGAGAGAGAGAGAGAGAGAGAGAGAGAGAGAGAGAGAGUGUAUCCCUAAACCGUAGCCCAUAGUAUUGCAUAAGUAAAGCUAAUUCAAAGCAGUAGUUCCGUUAACACAUGCUCCCUCAAUGCCCUGUUUUAACCGCUAUCGGAAGUGGCAGAACAACAUGGUCACGGCAGAUUAGCAUUUCAGUCCCCUCCCUUCCCUUCCCCUUUUUAUUUAUUCAUUUAUUUAUUUAUUUAUUUUUAAUCUCCACCCAAUGUAGCCAUGACAGAUUAGCAGAUCAGACCCCCCUCCCCCUCUCCCCCCCUUACUUUUUCUUUUACAUUCUCCACCCUCUGAAGUUUUGGCUUUUUGUGAUUUUUUUUUCUCAUCAUCAGAUUUUUAUUUAGUCUUGGAUUCCGUUCAACACCCUAAUGGACGUUUCUUUAUGACCAGUCCCCCGUCUCACUGUUUUGACGCCUCGUAAAAUCGCUCCUUCCUCCGAACCCAAGUUUUGAGAUGCUAAGUAAACCAGUGGAAUCAUGGGCUAUUGUGGAUCAUUAGCUAUCGUGGAAUCAUUUAUUGUGGAAUUACGUGGAAGCGUUCUGGGCCGCUGAUUAUGUUCCUGCCUUGAAACACCUUUAUUUUAGCUUUUUUUUUGUCCCAUCCAGCUUCCGUUCCACCUUGUUUCUCCUCUCAUACAAAUCUCCCCAUGCCGCUGCCCUCCCUGUGGUGCUGUGUCUACCGAGGUGUUAGGUAGUGAUGUGGUGUGUGUUGUCGAGGGUCCUGCAUGUCGGUGUGUUGCGUGCCUAGUCUAGUCAGUGUCAGAGUGUGUGUAAGACUGGGUAGUGUGAGCCAUACAGUCCAUAUCUUUCCUUGAGGCGUCAGGUUGCGGCGUAAUGGAAAAAAAAGGCUUUGGGUUAGUUUUUACAUUUGACGCGGAUUAGAAUUUUUUUUAGAUUUUAUUGUUGUGUGAGUUGAUCGUUUGCCGUGCUGAGUGUUGGCAUCUGAGAGUUGGUCAUAAGCCUUGUGCUGUGGAUGGAGUGCAGUGCUUGUGUUGUUCUUGCACACACACACACACACACACACACACACACACACACACACCUUGUUUGCACCCUCCUUGUUUGUGGCUAAGAUGCAAUGUUUAGGCCUAUGGUAAUGACUCAUAGCAAAAGAGAAGAUGGCGCCACUAUAAAUACUUGCCUGCGCCAUGACGGGCUGGGGCCAAAUACCAUCCAGGCUCCUCAAGCAGACCUACCAGCGCAAUAGGCGGAGACGUAAAUAAAAAAAAAAUACUAAAAAACCUCAGUCCCGGCCACUGCUGAGGAAGAAGCUGAUUGGAUGGGUUGAUGGAAUGCUUUUUGCAGCCUUGGGAAAACCUUUAAGAUCGAGGGUUAGCGGUCACAUCCACGGCAACCUCUAGUUAGGUGGUUGAGGGUGUGAGAGUCAUGUCAUGUUCGUGAGAGGCUUUGUGGACAGGGAAGUCGAAGAUGCAGGUCAAUAUUAUAAGACACACUCGCUUCCCACAUCACCUAUUUCUAAGGGUCAAAGAGGGGGUCAGUCGGGUUCUAAUGAGUGUUUCUUCAGGUUCAUGGUACAGAGGAAGGGUCAAACUACCACCAGGGUCAUAAAACUACCCCUGGAAAUGCCCACAACUCCUAUGAAAGCCUUGUCGAAUAUGUGUUCUUGGGCGGCGAAAUGUCUUGUGAUACGACCCGCGGUGUUUGUGGGGGGGACAUGAAGUUUUGGAGUGAAUUGUUGCACUUUUGAGUUGAUGUUAGAAUGUUGUGUGUGAGAUGAUGUUUGCACAGUGUAGAAGAGUGUGUGUGUAUGCAUGUGUGUGUGUGUGUGUGUGUGUGUGUGUGUGUGUGUGUGUGUGUGUGUGUGUGUGUGUGUGACUGCAUUUGUGGACAUGAAGUAUUGGAAUGAAUUGUUGCACUUCUGGGUUGAUGUUAGAAUGUUGUGUGUGAGAUGAUGCUUGCACAGUGUAGAAGAGUGUGUGUGUGUGUGUGUGUGUGUGUGUGUGUGUGUGUGUGUGUGUGUGUGUGUGUGUGUGUGUGUGACUGCAUUUGUGGACAUGAAGUAUUGGAGAAUUGUUGCACUUAUGAGUUGAUGUUAGAAUGUUGUGUGUGAGAUGAUGCUUGCACAGUGUAGAAGAGUGUGUGUGUAUGCAUGUGUGUGUGUGUGUGUGUGUGUGUGUGUGUGUGUGUGUGUGACUGCAUUUGUACAUACAUUUGUAAAUAUAGUAUAUGUAGACUACUUAAUCAAGACUCCCUGCAAUAGAACACAGGAAUACUUAAUCAAGACUCUUUUCAAUAGAACACUGGAAUAAAGAGACCAUAGUUAUUAUAUAUGAGACUAGCUUUAGUGUACAAAGGUCAAUAGCAACAGUCGACCUUAGCGGCAAUCACAGGCUUUGUUUGAAGAAUGGAGAAACAGCUGUAGAGUGCAUGCAAACACACACACACACACACACACAAGCAUAACAACACGGAACGGACUUGACGAGGAGACUGUGUGUGCAAAAACGAUUCGUGAAUUUAAAGCCAAACUGGAUAAUAAGCGUUAUGGAGACGGGACAGCACAAGCCUAGUACGACUCUUUUCCUGUAUUUCGCAACUAGGUAAAUACACACACACACACACACACACACACACACACAAUGACCGUAAGACUAAGUUCGAUAAUUGCACAUACGAACUUGAAGAUAAUGGAACGUAAGAUUAACUCAAAUUCUGUAUAAACACCCCAGCUAGGUACACAUACACACAGGGAUACAGUACACUUCAUAUCAGUCUCAUACACACACUACAGUCAGAGGUUCAUUUUACCGGAAGAAGUCAUGAAUCCCAAACCCCUUUCACAGUUUUAAAGAGAAACAUAAGACAGUUUCAAAAGACAGGACACUACGAGCUUGACGCAGUCCUGUGGAAAUGCAAUUAGCUAAGAGCAAGCAAUGGUUAGCCCGCAUCACCACUCCUUAGGGCUGACACAUCCCCCCCCAUAGACCAGAGCAGAGUAACUUAACAAUUAACGUUCCUAUGAGGCGUUCAGUGUAGAUGGGGUGACCAAACCAGUUAAUGUAGUAUUCUGUUUAAGGUGAGGUCCGCUGUAAUUGGCACGGAGUUGGCCUUCACUGGUAGCCUGGUAACGUACACUCCCAGGUCGUUCUCUGCCUCUGUGGUGGAUAGUGGAGUGUUUCCCAUGUGGUAUUGGUGUGCUGGAUAUCCCUUCACUGGUAGCCUGGUAACGUACACUCCCAGGUCUUUCUCUGCCUCUGUGGUGGAUAGUGGAGUGUUUCCCAUGUGGUAUUGGUGUGCUGGAUAUCCCUUCACUGGUAGCCUGGUAACGUACACUCCCAGGUCUUUCUCUGCCUCUGUGGUGGAUAGUGGAGUGUUUCCCAUGUGGUAUUGGUGUGCUGGAUAUCCCUUCACUGGUAGCCUGGUAACAUACACUCCCAGGUCUUUCUCUGCCUCUGUGGUGGAUAGUGGAGUGUUUCCCAUGUGGUAUUGGUGUGCUGGAUAUCCCUUCACUGGUAGCCUGGUAACAUACACUCCCAGGUCUUUCUCUGCCUCUGUGGUGGAUAGUGGCGUGUUUCCCAUGUGGUAUUGGUGUGCUGGAUAUCCCUUCACUAGUAGCCUGGUAACAUACACUCCCAGGUCUUUCUCUGCCUCUGUGGUGGAUAGUGGAGUGUUUCCCAUGUGGUAUUGGUGUGCUGGAUAUCCCUUCACUGGUAGCCUGGUAACAUACACUCCCAGGUCUUUCUCUGCCUCUGUGGUGGAUAGUGGCGUGUUUCCCAUGUGGUAUUGGUGUGCUGGAUAUCCCUUCACUAGUAGCCUG